UGGGGAAUAUUGGACAAUGGGCGCAAGCCUGAUCCAGCCAUGCCGCGUGAGUGAUGAAGGCCUUAGGGUUGUAAAGCUCUUUCGCCGACGAAGAUAAUGACGGUAGUCGGAGAAGAAGCCCCGGCUAACUUCGUGCCAGCAGCCGCGGUAAUACGAAGGGGGCUAGCGUUGUUCGGAAUCACUGGGCGUAAAGCGCACGUAGGCGGAUUGUUAAGUCAGGGGUGAAAGCCUGGAGCUCAACUCCAGAACUGCCCUUGAUACUGGCAAUCUCGAGUCCGGAAGAGGUAAGUGGAACUGCGAGUGUAGAGGUGAAAUUCGUAGAUAUUCGCAAGAACACCAGUGGCGAAGGCGGCUUACUGGUCCGGUACUGACGCUGAGGUGCGAAAGCGUGGGGAGCAAAACAGGAUUAGAUACCCUGGUAGUCCACGCCGUAAAACGAUGGAGGCUAGCCGUUGGCGAGCAUGCUCGUCAGUGGCGCAGCUAACGCAUUAAGCCUCCCGCCUGGGGAGUACGGUCGCAAGAUUAAAAACUCAAAGGAAUUGACGGGGUCAUAGCUGUUUCCU
RNAcentral lists this ribosomal RNA (563 nucleotides) under uncultured bacterium. RNAcentral describes it as "partial 16S ribosomal RNA". It matches the Rfam family "Bacterial small subunit ribosomal RNA", at positions 355 to 1375 of the family's 1533-position model. The record is from RNAcentral.